Daphnia carinata is the source of this 1023-nucleotide long non-coding RNA. RefSeq lists it as uncharacterized. NCBI's taxonomy places the organism in Eukaryota, Metazoa, Arthropoda, Branchiopoda, Diplostraca, Daphniidae. The record is from RefSeq and is a predicted model, not a curated record. The transcript has 4 exons.
UAGAAUUUUUGAGUUUGCUGUUUAGCUACAACCCCAUAGAAAAAGAAAGUAGUCUGUCUGUCUUUGCCGGCCGUUAAGUGAGCAGCACGUGGUUGAAACUAAAUUUUGCUUAUUAUAGCUCCAUUUAAAAGAAAAAAUGGUAGCGCGACUAAUAUCGCGGCAAUUAAUGGGACUGUUUUAUGGAAAACGUUUAUAUGAUUCACUGUUCUAUUGAGCUGAGGAACAAUUUUCAGAACUUCGAAGAAUAAACUAACCUAAUCCUCUCGUGGCAGUCUAUGCUUGCUAAAUUGAAAAAAUGUUUACUGAACUCUCACAAACUCUGAUCCCGAUCACAGGAAUCCUUGUCCAACGAUGGGGUUAAUAAUGUGUUCUGUUGUCUAUUUUCCAGGAAUUUAUUUUUACGAAAUGCCAUGGAUUGGCAGUUGAUGAUUAAAAGAAUUGUUACUAUUGCUGCAAGAAGUGAGAAGUCAAAAAGUUGACUGAAAUCCAAGAAAUAGACUUCAUGAACAAAAAUUGGACUUAAUGGGAUUCUACUAGCCCCUACAGACAAGGCAUCCUGAAGAAAGUAUUGUUCUUUGUCUUUUUAGGAUAAAAUUGGAGGUCCCUACAGUAUGGGGAUUAACUAGUAUGGAUUGCAAUAUUUAUGUACUUUGAAGAAUUUUUAUCUGGAUAUCGCCGAUUCCUUAAAACAUGAUUGAAGCUAGUUGGGUGGUGGCUUGGCACCUUUUCUAAUAGACAUUGUAAGCUUGUUUUAGAACUGAAAGGCUUGAAGAGCUUACCGUUUGGAUAAUUAUUCAGAAAAUUACCAAGUUUCCUAGGCUGCUGAUAAUGUUUCAGCUAAUUUCAAGCCUUUUACAAUGGUUCAUCAGUAAAGUAAAGUUAGUAAAUAACUUGGUUAAAUCUGUUAGCCUGUUUCUGAACUUUGGGUGAACUUCUGGUGACAGUGUUAUCUUUGGCAAUGGAUUAUUGUGGAAUAAUCACUUGAUGGGAGUCACAUGAAGCAAUAUUUAUGUAGCACAAGAG